UCUCUGACCCCGUGUAUCUGAUAAAUCCCUAACCCCUUCCCUCCUCCCUUUUUUCCCCAAAUCAAAAACCCACCUCCUUCGAUCCACCAUUCCACCUCCGGUGUCCGGUCCUCCACGACACCACCUCCGCUCUAGCGAAUCUAGCCUUCAACGUCUUCUACCUUUGAAUUUCAAAGUGAAUAUUGGGGGGGAUUUUGAUUGUGUUUAUAACAUAUUAUUCUUUGCAACAAAAAGAGUGAUUGAGUCCGACUAAAGCGAGUGAGUGAAAGGCGUGGCAAGAGAGCAAGUUCGACUCGCAAACGAUCAGCAAGUGAAGGAAGAAAAUCAUGAUUGUUCUGGUUUUUUUUUUUAGUUCUUUUGCUGGUUAAUGAGGAAACAGCUGUGCGAUUGGUGGAAUCGUCUUUGCGGACAUCUGAGUACCGACCCAUCAACGUCUUUGUUAAUUUUUAUUCUGAGCCUGAAUACAACUUUAGAGUCCCAAGAACAAAUUUCUUUCCUCAACCUAAUGUUGAUGCAGCUGUUGUUACAUUUAGGCUGAAACAGGCUCUAGACUAUCCUUCAGUGGCCUCCACGAAAAGCUUUUUCUCCAUGGUUGGUUGAUUCCUAUGUUGAGGCAGCCUUGUUGUUAGUAAAACUCAUCAUAGUUCCGUGUAGUUCUGUAGGAACUUAAAGUAGACUUUCAAACUUGAGUUCUAACCGGUUUUGAGAUGAUAUUCAUGUAUUUUUUGGGUGAUAAAACCUAAAUUAGUAACUAAAUUACAAUUUAUAUUUUGUUAUAAAAUUAAAUAUGUAGAUUUGUUAAUGUAUGGAUAUUUUUGUUGGUUGAUUA
RNA transcript from Gossypium raimondii (Peruvian cotton), 829 nucleotides. It is a transcript of the gene named ribosomal RNA small subunit methyltransferase, chloroplastic-like, with no coding region annotated. The transcript is spliced from 5 exons. The record is from RefSeq and is a predicted model, not a curated record. Lineage: Eukaryota; Viridiplantae; Streptophyta; Magnoliopsida; Malvales; Malvaceae.